RNAcentral lists this ribosomal RNA (451 nucleotides) under uncultured bacterium. Its description in RNAcentral is "bacterial SSU rRNA". It matches the Rfam family "Bacterial small subunit ribosomal RNA", at positions 354 to 796 of the family's 1533-position model. The record is from RNAcentral.
GUCGAGAGGCUUCGGCAAUGGGGGAAACCCUGACCGAGCGACGCCGCGUGCAGGAUGAAGGCCCUUGGGUUGUAAACUGCUUUUGUUGGGGAAGAAAUGCGAUCAGGUUAAUAAUCUGGUCGUUUGACGGUACCCGACGAAUAAGCUCCGGCUAACUCCGUGCCAGCAGCCGCGGUAACACGGGGGGAGCAAGCGUUGUUCGGAAUCACUGGGCGUAAAGGGCGUGUAGGCGGUCAGGUAAGUGGAAUGUGAAAGCCCCCGGCUCACCCGGGGAUCUGCAUCCCAUACUGCCUGGCUUGAGUACGGGAGAGGAUAGGGGAAUUCCUGGUGUAGCGGUGAAAUGCGUAGAUAUCAGGAGGAACACCGGUGGCGAAGGCGCCUAUCUGGCCCGAUACUGACGCUGAGGCGCGAAAGCUAGGGGAGCAAACGGGAUUAGAUACCCGUGUAGUCC